This 497-nucleotide ribosomal RNA is filed under the name uncultured bacterium. RNAcentral describes it as "partial 16S ribosomal RNA". It matches the Rfam family "Bacterial small subunit ribosomal RNA", at positions 28 to 507 of the family's 1533-position model. The record is from RNAcentral.
GAUGAACGCUGGCGGCGUGCCUAAUACAUGCCAGUCGAGCGAACAGAUGAGGAGCUUGCUCCUCUGACGUUAGCGGCGGACGGGUGAGUAACACGUGGAUAACCUACCUAUAAGACUGGGAUAACUUCGGGAAACCGGAGCUAAUACCGGAUAACAUAUUGAACCGCAUGGUUCAAUAGUGAAAGACGGUUUUGCUGUCACUUAUAGAUGGAUCCGCGCCGCAUUAGCUAGUUGGUAAGGUAACGGCUUACCAAGGCAACGAUGCGUAGCCGACCUGAGAGGGUGAUCGGCCACACUGGAACUGAGACACGGUCCAGACUCCUACGGGAGGCAGCAGUAGGGAAUCUUCCGCAAUGGGCGAAAGCCUGACGGAGCAACGCCGCGUGAGUGAUGAAGGUCUUCGGAUCGUAAAACUCUGUUAUUGGGGAAGAACAAAUGUGUAAGUAACUAUGCACGUCUUGACGGUACCUAAUCAGAAAGCCACGGCUAACUACGUG